Molecule: ribosomal RNA, 492 nt
Filed under: uncultured bacterium
Lineage: Bacteria
Description: partial 16S ribosomal RNA
Rfam family: Bacterial small subunit ribosomal RNA
Source: RNAcentral
AGUGAACGCUGGCGGUAGGCCUAACACAUGCAAGUCGAACGGCAGCACAGUAAGAGCUUGCUCUUACGGGUGGCGAGUGGCGGACGGGUGAGGAAUACAUCGGAAUCUACUUUUUCGUGGGGGAUAACGUAGGGAAACUUACGCUAAUACCGCAUACGCCCUACGGGUGAAAGCAGGGGAUCUUCUGACCUUGCGCGAUUGAAUGAGCCGAUGUCGGAUUACCUAGUUGGCGGGGUAAAGGCCCACCAAGGCGACGAUCCGUAGCUGGUCUGAGAGGAUGAUCAGCCACACUGGAACUGAGACACGGUCCAGACUCCUACGGGAGGCAGCAGUGGGGAAUAUUGGACAAUGGGCGCAAGCCUGAUCCAGCCAUACCGCGUGGGUGAAGAAGGCCUUCGGGUUGUAAAGCCCUUUUGUUGGGAAAGAAAAGCAGCAGGUUAAUACCCCGCUGUUCUGACGGUACCCAAAGAAUAAGCACCGGCUAACUUCGUG